GCGUUAACGAACGAGACCUUAACCUGCUAAAUAGCCCGCACUGCUCUGGCAGUACGCUGGCUUCUUAGAGGGACUAUCGGCUCAAGCCGAUGGAAGUUUGAGGCAAUAACAGGUUGGUCCCCCGAUAAUACCGCUGUAACCGGUUGUCUUACUGACUCGCCUAGGUCUGUGAUGCCCUUAGAUGUUCUGGGCCGCACGGUAUGUGUUCUAUAUUCCCAGAAACGCGAAACACUGCUGACUUCCUAUAGCGCGCGACACUGACAGAGCCAGCGAGUACUCCCUUGGCCGGAAGGCCCGGGUAAUCUUGUUAAACUCUGUCGUGCUGGGGAUAGAGCAUUGCAAUUAUUGCUCUUCAACGAGGAAUCCCUAGUAAGCGCAAGUCAUCAGCUUGCGUUGAUUACGUCCCUGCCCUUUGUACACACCGCCCGUCGCUAAUACCGAUUGAAUGGGUA
This 452-nucleotide ribosomal RNA is filed under the name Eukaryota sp. RNAcentral's name for it is "SSU rRNA". It matches the Rfam family "Eukaryotic small subunit ribosomal RNA", at positions 1325 to 1699 of the family's 1831-position model. The record is from RNAcentral.